CCUACGGGAGGCAGCAGUGAGGAAUAUUGGUCAAUGGACGCGAGCCUGAACCAGCCAAGUAGCGUGAAGGAUGACUGCCCUAUGGGUUGUAAACUUCUUUUAUAAAGGAAUAAAGUGAGGCACGUGUACCUUUUUGUAUGUACUUUAUGAAUAAGGAUCGGCUAACUCCGUGCCAGCAGCCGCGGUAAUACGGAGGAUCCGAGCGUUAUCCGGAUUUAUUGGGUUUAAAGGGAGCGUAGAUGGUUUGUUAAGUCAGUUGUGAAAGUUUGCGGCUCAACCGUAAAAUUGCAAUUGAUACUGUCAGUCUUGAGUACAGUUGAGGUAGGCGGAAUGCGUGGUGUAGCGGUGAAAUGCUUAGAGAUCACGAAGAACUCCGAUUGCGAAGGCAGCUUACUAAACUGUCACUGACAUUGAGGCUCGAAAGUGUGGGUAGCAAACAGGAUUAGAUACCCUAGUAGUC
This 460-nucleotide ribosomal RNA is filed under the name uncultured bacterium. Its description in RNAcentral is "partial 16S ribosomal RNA". It matches the Rfam family "Bacterial small subunit ribosomal RNA", at positions 338 to 795 of the family's 1533-position model. The record is from RNAcentral.